RNAcentral lists this ribosomal RNA (444 nucleotides) under uncultured bacterium. RNAcentral describes it as "partial 16S ribosomal RNA". It matches the Rfam family "Bacterial small subunit ribosomal RNA", at positions 29 to 504 of the family's 1533-position model. The record is from RNAcentral.
AACGAACGCUAUCGGUAUGCUUAACACAUGCAAGUCGGACGGACUAAUUAGGGCUUGCUCCAAUUAGUUAGUGGCAGACGGGUGAGUAACACGUGGGAAUCUGCCCAUCAGUACGGAAUAACUUUUAGAAAUAAAAGCUAAUACCGUAUAUUCUCUACAGAGGAAAGAUUUAUCGCUGAUGGAUGAGCCCGCGUCAGAUUAGGUAGUUGGUGAGGUAACGGCUCACCAAGCCGACGAUCUGUAGCUGGUCUGAGAGGAUGAUCAGCCACACUGGGACUGAGACACGGCCCAGACUCCUACGGGAGGCAGCAGUGGGGAAUAUUGGACAAUGGGCGAAAGCCUGAUCCAGCAAUACCGAGUGAGUGAUAAAGGCCCUAGGGUUGUAAAGCUCUUUUAGCAAGGAAGAUAAUGACGUUACUUGCAGAAAAAGCCCCGGCUAACUCC